GACGAACGCUGGCGGCGUGCUUAACACAUGCAAGUCGAACGGAAAGGCCCUGCUUUUGUGGGGUGCUCGAGUGGCGAACGGGUGAGUAACACGUGAGUAACCUGCCCUUGACUUUGGGAUAACUUCAGGAAACUGGGGCUAAUACCGGAUAGGAGCUCCUGCUGCAUGGUGGGGGUUGGAAAGUUUCGGCGUUUGGGGCUGUACUCGCGGCUUAUCAGCUUGUUGGUGGGGUAGUGGCUUACCAAGGCUUUGACGGGUAGCCGGCGUGAGAGGGUGACCGGCCACAUUGGGACGGGGAGAAGGACCAGAGUCUUACGGGAGGCAGGAGUGGGGAAGAUGGCCAAGGGGCGGAAGCCUGAUGCAGCAACGCCGCGUGCGGGAUGACGGCCUUCGGGUUGUAAACCGCUUUCGCCUGCGACGAAGCGUGAGUGACGGGAAUGGGUAAAGAAGCACCGGCUAACUACG
RNAcentral lists this ribosomal RNA (465 nucleotides) under uncultured bacterium. RNAcentral describes it as "partial 16S ribosomal RNA". It matches the Rfam family "Bacterial small subunit ribosomal RNA", at positions 28 to 505 of the family's 1533-position model. The record is from RNAcentral.